RNAcentral lists this ribosomal RNA (504 nucleotides) under uncultured bacterium. Its description in RNAcentral is "bacterial SSU rRNA". It matches the Rfam family "Bacterial small subunit ribosomal RNA", at positions 28 to 524 of the family's 1533-position model. The record is from RNAcentral.
GAUGAACGCUAGCGACAGGCUUAACACAUGCAAGUCGAGGGGCAGCGGGGAGCAGCAAUGCUCUGCCGGCGACCGGCGGACGGGUGAGUAACGCGUAUGCAACCAACCUACCAGCGGGGGAUAAUCCACCGAAAGGUGGUCUAAGACCGCAUAAGACAGGGGCACCGCAUGGUGCUAUUUGUUAAAGGGAACACUGGUAGACGGGCAUGCGUUCCAUUAGGCAGUUGGAGGGGUAACGGCCCACCAAACCGACGAUGGAUAGGGGUUCUGAGAGGAAGGUCCCCCCACAUUGGUACUGAGACACGGACCAAACUCCUACGGGAGGCAGCAGUGAGGAAUAUUGGUCAAUGGGCGGAAGCCUGAACCAGCCAAGUCGCGUGAAGGAAGAAGGAUCUAUGGUUUGUAAACUUCUUUUGAAGGGGGAUAAAGUGCGUCACGAGUGAUGCAUUGCAGGUACCCCUUGGAAUAAGCAUCGGCUAACUCCGUGCCAGCAGCCGCGGUAAG